UGCAAUCUACCUUAUACAGGGGGAUAGCCCAGAGAAAUUUGGAUUAAUACCCCAUAGUGUUACGGAGUGGCAUCACACUGUAACUAAAGUUCCAACGGUAUAAGAUGAGCAUGCGUCCCAUUAGCUAGUUGGUAAGGUAACGGCUUACCAAGGCUACGAUGGGUAGGGGUCCUGAGAGGGAGAUCC
RNAcentral lists this ribosomal RNA (186 nucleotides) under uncultured Bacteroidota bacterium. RNAcentral's name for it is "uncultured Bacteroidetes bacterium partial 16S ribosomal RNA". It matches the Rfam family "Bacterial small subunit ribosomal RNA", at positions 120 to 306 of the family's 1533-position model. The record is from RNAcentral. Lineage: Bacteria; Pseudomonadati; Bacteroidota.